This 1122-nucleotide ribosomal RNA is filed under the name Bathypathes sp. 1 NB-2020. RNAcentral's name for it is "partial 28S ribosomal RNA". It matches the Rfam family "Eukaryotic large subunit ribosomal RNA", at positions 1 to 927 of the family's 3401-position model. The record is from RNAcentral. Lineage: Eukaryota; Metazoa; Cnidaria; Anthozoa; Antipatharia; Schizopathidae.
CUCGGCCUCAGAUCAGACAAGGCUACCCGCUGAAUUUAAGCAUAUUAAUAAGCGGAGGAAAAGAAACUAACAAGGAUUCCCCCAGUAACGGCGAGUGAAGCGGGAUCAGCUCAAAUUUAAAAUCUCCGUUGCUUGCAACGGCGAAUUGUAGUUUCGAGAAGCGCUUUCUAGGCGGACCGGCUGCGCCUAAGUUGCUUGGAACAGCACGUCAUAGAGGGUGACAACCCCGUCUGUGGCGUAGGCGGCCGCUCACGAUGUGCUUUCGAAGAGUCGGGUUGUUUGGGAAUGCAGCCCAAAAUGGGUGGUAAACUCCAUCUAAAGCUAAAUAUUGGCACGAGACCGAUAGCGAACAAGUACCGUGAGGGAAAGAUGAAAAGGACUUUGGAAAGAGAGUUAAAAAGUACGUGAAACCGUUAAAAGGGAAACGAAUGGAGCUAGCAAUGCACCCAGCGAGAUUCAGCUGGUUGGUGGAUCGGCCGCGAUGUGUGCAGAUCUGAAUUGACUGCGGCUUCGUGGUUCGAGCUCCCUGCCAUCGCACUUCUCGCGGGCGCGCGUCAACAUGGGUUGGGACCGGGUCUAAACGGCACCGGCAAGGUAAGUCCGCACCUCCGGGUACGUACUGUUCUAGGCCGGCGCUCUCGCGGCCCGGACCCGACCGAGGCGAUGCAGCACAUGCCUCUUGUGGCUGGGGUCCCGUUCUUCCGGUUGGUUGUCGACUGUGGUGGACUGCGUGCAGUGCACCGCGACUGCUGCCGGUCGCUUGGGCGGUGACUUCGCAUGAUGUGCUUAGGAUGUUGGCGGUCAUAUGGCUUCAUCCGACCCGUCUUGAAACACGGACCAAGGAGUCUACCAUAUGCGCGAGUCUUUGGGUGAUUGAAACCCGCGGGCACAAUGAAAGUGAAGGCGGCUCCGGCCUGCCGAGGUGAGAACCUCCCCUCUCGGGGUGGCGCAUCAUCGACCGACCUAUUCUACUCUUAGGAAGGUUUGAGUAAGAGCGCAUUUGUUGGGACCCGAAAGAUGGUGAACUAUGCCUGAAUAGGGUGAAGCCAGAGGAAACUCUGGUGGAGGCUCGUAGCGAUUCUGACGUGCAAAUCGAUCGUCAAAUUUGGGUAUAGGGGCGAA